CGAGCUUGCAUGAGAGCAUCCCAGGACCACUGAACAUUCAGAGGUCUAUUUCUGGCAUCUCUUUCCACAGCACAGGCAGCCUUGCAGAAUGAAAAGUAUUUCUCCCACCUGCCCUGGCCUCUGCCCUGGCUCUGAAAGAGGCAGGCUGUGAAUGAUGGUUGUCAGUGUCUGGAGUUUUCACUGAAAAACAGUCCCCUGAAAUGGAAAGACACACAGAGGGGAGUGAUCUCAUCGCCACUGAUUUUUCCCAACUUUCAGUUUUGUAUCUCCAUGGUGGAACUCGAUACAGCAGCAUCCCUCAGUGGUUCCAGCCCAGAAGUGCAAGGGGAAGCCGGCUGCCUGUUCAUGAAUUCUGUAGCUCAAAAAGCAGAGGCCGAGAAAGCAAAAUUUCAAACCUUUGUCAGAAAGGGUGAGACCUUGCUCAGCACGAUAGCUGAGAACAGCUUCCUCCUUCAAUGCUGGUCUCUCUAUACUGACAGUUGACAGCUGAUGAUCCCACAUUCUCAGUCAUGCGAAUGACCUCACCUGAGCACCAGUUUGUAACGGAUGUUUAAGAGGAAAGCAAGGGAAUUAAAUGCUGCACAGGAAUUUGGCACUUCUGUAUAGAAAUAGAAAAACUAAAUGAAACUUAUAGUACCUUCCACUCAACUAAGAUUCUUGUGAAGCAAAGUAUAUCUGGGAAAAUAUAGUAAUAUGGUUAUUUUGUGUUCAUAGUGUGUGACUCUACUUAUAAGCACUUUUUAAUCAUUAUAAUCAAUCACUUUAAAGAUCUUAGAGGGAACUUAUUAAUCAAAAUUUAAGCCUUCUUUAAAAAAAAAAAACUUCCCAUAUACUAAUUUUGCACAGAAGCAAAAGAUUAGAUUGGGAUUCUGCCUGUUGUGGAGAGACAAAGACAAGAGUGCUCCAGAUUUCUGUGUUUGUGUUUUUACUUCAUACUUUCAAUGCGUCCGCAAGAAUAGACUUGUGUUUCUCUUCUUAAUACACAAUGGUUAGAGCUCACAGAAUGCGUGGUCUGACUCUUGGGGCCAGAGUUGCAUUGAUGGCACUUGAGAGACUAAUACAUAAUCCAGAGCUCCAAAUGUACACUGUGAAAUAAAACU
RNAcentral lists this long non-coding RNA (1100 nucleotides) under Homo sapiens (human). RNAcentral's name for it is "HSALNT0356901". The record is from RNAcentral. Lineage: Eukaryota; Metazoa; Chordata; Mammalia; Primates; Hominidae.